RNAcentral lists this transfer RNA (65 nucleotides) under Coleoptera sp. ACP-2013. RNAcentral describes it as "tRNA-Leu". The record is from RNAcentral. Lineage: Eukaryota; Metazoa; Arthropoda; Insecta; Coleoptera.
UUAUUUUGGCAGAUUAGUGCAUGAGAUUUAGAAUCUUAUUAAGUAGAUUGUUUUACAAAUAAUAC